RNAcentral lists this transfer RNA (69 nucleotides) under Cavia porcellus (domestic guinea pig). It matches the Rfam family "tRNA". Rfam says of the family: Transfer RNA (tRNA) molecules are approximately 80 nucleotides in length. Their secondary structure includes four short double-helical elements and three loops (D, anti-codon, and T loops). Lineage: Eukaryota; Metazoa; Chordata; Mammalia; Rodentia; Caviidae. The record is from Rfam by way of RNAcentral.
GGAAGUAUAGUUCAGUGAUAGAGCACAUGCCUCGCAUGCAUUGGACCCUGGGUUCAAUCCCCAGCACCA